GACGAACGCUGGCGGCGUGCUUAACACAUGCAAGUCGAACGGAAAGGCCCUGCUUUUGUGGGGUGCUCGAGUGGCGAACGGGUGAGUAACACGUGAGUAACCUGCCCUUGACUUUGGGAUAACUUCAGGAAACUGGGGCUAAUACCGGAUAGGAGCUCCUGCUGCAUGGUGGGGGUUGGAAAGUUUCGGCGGUUGGGGAUGGACUCGCGGCUUAUCAGCUUGUUGGUGGGGUAGUGGCUUACCAAGGCUUUGACGGGUAGCCGGCCUGAGAGGGUGACCGGCCACAUUGGGACUGAGAUACGGCCCAGACUCCUACGGGAGGCAGCAGUGGGGAAUAUUGCACAAUGGGCGGAAGCUUGAUGCAGCAACGCCGCGUGCAGGAUGACGGCCAUCGGGUUGUAAACCGCUUUCGCCUGUGACGAAGCGUGAGUGACGGUAAUGGGUAAAGAAGCACCGGCUAACUACGUG
This 468-nucleotide ribosomal RNA is filed under the name uncultured bacterium. RNAcentral's name for it is "partial 16S ribosomal RNA". It matches the Rfam family "Bacterial small subunit ribosomal RNA", at positions 28 to 507 of the family's 1533-position model. The record is from RNAcentral.